This 74-nucleotide transfer RNA is filed under the name Candidatus Komeilibacteria bacterium CG_4_9_14_0_2_um_filter_36_13. RNAcentral's name for it is "tRNA-Gln". It matches the Rfam family "tRNA". From Rfam's summary of the family: Transfer RNA (tRNA) molecules are approximately 80 nucleotides in length. Their secondary structure includes four short double-helical elements and three loops (D, anti-codon, and T loops). Lineage: Bacteria; Candidatus Komeiliibacteriota. The record is from RNAcentral. RNAcentral also lists the same sequence under 2 other names.
UUCGGGAUCGUCUAAUGGUAGGACAUCAGGUUCUGGUCCUGAGAAUCUAGGUUCGAGUCCUAGUCCCGAAGCCA